CGAACGAUUAAAGCUCUCUUCGGAGAGUGCAUAGAGUGGCGCACGGGUGAGUAACACGUAAGUAAUCUACCCUCGAGUGGGGAAUAACGUCCGGAAACGGACGCUAAUACCGCAUAAUGCAGCGGCACCGCAAGGUGACAGUUGUUAAAGAUUUAUCGCUUGAGGAGGAGCUUGCGGCAGAUUAGCUAGUUGGUAAGGUAAUGGCUUACCAAGGCUACGAUCUGUAACCGGUCUUAGAGGACGGUCGGUCACACUGACACUGAAUAACGGGUCAGACUCCUACGGGAGGCAGCAGUCGGGAAUUUUGGGCAAUGGGCGAAAGCCUGACCCAGCAACGCCGCGUGAAGGAUGAAGUAUUUCGGUAUGUAAACUUCGAAAGAAUGGGAAGAAUAAAUGACGGUACCAUUUAUAAGGUCCGGCUAACUACGUGCCAGCAGCCGCGGUAAUACGUAGGGACCAAGCGUUGUUCGGAUUUACUGGGCGUAAAGGGCGCGUAGGCGGCGUGGUAAGUCACUUGUGAAAUCUCUGAGCUUAACUCAGAACGGCCAAGUGAUACUGCUGUGCUAGAGUGCAGAAGGGGCAAUCGGAAUUCUUGGUGUAGCGGUGAAAUGCGUAGAUAUCAAGAGGAACACCUGAGGUGAAGACGGGUUGCUGGGCUGACACUGACGCUGAGGCGCGAAAGCCAGGGGAGCAAACGGGAUUAGAUACCCCGGUAGUCCUGGCCCUAAACGAUGAAUACUUGGUGUCUGGAGUUAUUAGUGCUCCGGGUGCCGUCGCUAACGUUUUUAGUAUUCCGCCUGGGGAGUACGCUCGCAAGAGUGAAACUCAAAGGAAUUGACGGGGACCCGCACAAGCGGUGGAGCAUGUGGUUUAAUUCGACGCAACGCGAAGAACCUUACCUAGGCUAGAAUGUGAGGGAAGUCUGCGUAACAGCAGGCGUCUGGGAAACCAGACCCAAAUCAAGGUGCUGCAUGGCUGUCGUCAG
RNAcentral lists this ribosomal RNA (985 nucleotides) under uncultured bacterium. Its description in RNAcentral is "bacterial SSU rRNA". It matches the Rfam family "Bacterial small subunit ribosomal RNA", at positions 63 to 1058 of the family's 1533-position model. The record is from RNAcentral.